This 253-nucleotide ribosomal RNA is filed under the name uncultured bacterium. RNAcentral describes it as "partial 16S ribosomal RNA". It matches the Rfam family "Bacterial small subunit ribosomal RNA", at positions 524 to 776 of the family's 1533-position model. The record is from RNAcentral.
GACAGAGGGUGCAAACGUUGCUCGGAAUUACUGGGCGUAAAGCGCGUGUAGGCGGUCACGCAAGUCAGGUGUGAAAGCCCAGGGCUCAACCCUGGAAGUGCACAUGAUACUACGUGGCUGGAGUACUGAAGAGGAGAGCGGAAUUCCCGGUGUAGAGGUGAAAUUCGUAGAUAUUCGGAGGAACACCAGUGGCGAAGGCGGCUCACUGGUCCGGUACUGACGCUGAGGUGCGAAAGCGUGGGGAGCAAACAGG